UUAUACCCUAUAGGUUACAGAUGCUGUAAUGCUCUGUAAUCAAAAGUUCCGGCGCCCCAGGAUGGAUCUGCGGCCGAUUAGUUUGUUUUUGGGGUAAUGGCCCAACAAGCCAGUUAAUCGGUACGGUUUUUGGGAGCAAGAGCCCGGAGUUGGAUUCUGAGACACGAAUCCAGGCCCUACGGGGCGCAGCAGGCGCGAAAACUUUACAAUGCGGGCAACCGUGAUAAGGGAACCUCGAGUGCCUGUAAAUGCAGGCUGUUCAGAUGCCUAAAACACAUCUGGAGAAAGGGCCGGGCAAGACCGGUGCCAGCCGCCGCGGUAAUACCGGCGGCUCGAGUGGUGGCCACUUUUAUUGGGCUUAAAGCGUUCGUAGCUGGGUUGUUAAGUCUCUUGGGAAAUCUGGCGGCUUAACCGUCAGGCGUCUAAGGGAUACUGGCAAUCUUGGAACCGGGAGAGGUGAGGGGUACUUCGGGGGUAGGAGUGAAAUCCUGUAAUCCUCGAGGGACCACCUGUGGCGAAGGCGCCUCACCAGAACGGCUUCGACAGUGAGGGACGAAAGCUGGGGGAGCAAACCGGAUUAGAUACCCGGGUAGUCCCAGCCGUAAACUAUGCGCGUUAGGUGUAU
This 625-nucleotide ribosomal RNA is filed under the name uncultured archaeon. Its description in RNAcentral is "bacterial SSU rRNA". It matches the Rfam family "Archaeal small subunit ribosomal RNA", at positions 147 to 776 of the family's 1478-position model. The record is from RNAcentral.